CACGCAGUAAACGAUGAUUACUAGGAGUUUGCGAUACAAUGUAAGCUCUACAGCGAAAGCGUUAAGUAAUCCACCUGGGGAGUACGCCGGCAACGGUGAAACUCAAAGGAAUUGACGGGGGCCCGCACAAGCGGAGGAACAUGUGGUUUAAUUCGAUGAUACGCGAGGAACCUUACCCGGGUUUGAACGUAGUCUGACCGGAGUGGAAACACUCUUUCUAGCAAUAGCAGAUUACGAGGUGC
This 242-nucleotide ribosomal RNA is filed under the name uncultured bacterium. RNAcentral describes it as "partial 16S ribosomal RNA". It matches the Rfam family "Bacterial small subunit ribosomal RNA", at positions 796 to 1041 of the family's 1533-position model. The record is from RNAcentral.